GCUGCCGGAUGGGCAAUCGCUUCCGGGUUCUUAGAACUUCGGGGGAGGAAAGUCCGGUCUCCACAGGGCAGCGUGCCGGCUAACGGCCGGGGUCCGGAAACGGAUACGGAAAGUGCCACAGAAAAUAUACCGCCUCCAGAAAUGGACGGUAAGGGUGAAAUGGUGCGGUAAGAGCGCACCGCGGCAAAAGUAAUUUUGCCGGCAAGGUAAACCCCACGCGGAGCAAGAUCAAAUAGGGGAGGAGGAGUUGCCCGCUCCGUUGGACUUCCGGGUAGAUCGCUUGAGCUCCGCAGCAAUGCGUGGCCUAGACGAAUGAUUGCCGCCCGCAAGGGUACAGAAACCGGCUUAUAGUCCGGCAGCCCCC
This 364-nucleotide RNase P RNA is filed under the name Terriglobia bacterium. RNAcentral describes it as "RNase P RNA component class A". It matches the Rfam family "Bacterial RNase P class A". Rfam says of the family: Ribonuclease P (RNase P) is a ubiquitous endoribonuclease, found in archaea, bacteria and eukarya as well as chloroplasts and mitochondria. Its best characterised activity is the generation of mature 5'-ends of tRNAs by cleaving the 5'-leader elements of precursor-tRNAs. The record is from RNAcentral. Lineage: Bacteria; Pseudomonadati; Acidobacteriota; Terriglobia.